GAGUUUGAUCCUGGCUCAGGACGAACGCUGGCGGCGUGCCUAAUACAUGCAAGUCGAGCGAGCGGAACUAACAGAUUUACCUCGGUAAUGACGUUAGGAAAGCGAGCGGCGGAUGGGUGAGUAACACGUGGGGAACCUGCCCCAUAGUCUGGGAUACCACUUGGAAACAGGUGCUAAUACCGGAUAAGAAAGCAGAUCGCAUGAUCAGCUUUUAAAAGGCGGCGUAAGCUGUCGCUAUGGGAUGGCCCCGCAGUGCAUUAGCUAGUUGGUAAGGUAAAGGCUUACCAAGGCGAUGAUGCAUAGCCGAGUUGAGAGACUAAUCGGCCACAUUGGGACUGAGACACGGCCCAAACUCCUACGGGAGGCAGCA
RNAcentral lists this ribosomal RNA (370 nucleotides) under uncultured Lactobacillus sp. RNAcentral describes it as "bacterial SSU rRNA". It matches the Rfam family "Bacterial small subunit ribosomal RNA", at positions 9 to 353 of the family's 1533-position model. The record is from RNAcentral. Lineage: Bacteria; Bacillati; Bacillota; Bacilli; Lactobacillales; Lactobacillaceae.